RNAcentral lists this ribosomal RNA (253 nucleotides) under uncultured bacterium. RNAcentral's name for it is "partial 16S ribosomal RNA". It matches the Rfam family "Bacterial small subunit ribosomal RNA", at positions 524 to 776 of the family's 1533-position model. The record is from RNAcentral.
UACGAAGGGGGCUAGCGUCGUUCGGAAUUACUGGGCGUAAAGCGCACGUAGGCGGACAUUUAAGUCAGGGGUGAAAUCCCAGAGCUCAACUCUGGAACUGCCUUUGAUACUGGGUGUCUAGAGUAUGGAAGAGGUGAGUGGAAUUCCGAGUGUAGAGGUGAAAUUCGUAGAUAUUCGGAGGAACACCAGUGGCGAAGGCGGCUCACUGGUCCAUUACUGACGCUGAGGUGCGAAAGCUAGGGGAGCGAACGGG